UACGUAGGGUCCGAGCGUUGUCCGGAAUUACUGGGCGUAAAGAGCUCGUAGGUGGUUUGUCGCGUUGUUCGUGAAAACUCAUAGCUCAACUGUGGGCGUGCGGGCGAUACGGGCAGACUGGAGUACUGCAGGGGAGACUGGAAUUCCUGGUGUAGCGGUGGAAUGCGCAGAUAUCAAGCGGAACACCGGUGGCGAAGGCGGCCUUCUGGACAGUGACUGACGCUGAGACGCGAAAGCGUGGGGAGCAAACAGG
RNAcentral lists this ribosomal RNA (253 nucleotides) under uncultured bacterium. RNAcentral's name for it is "partial 16S ribosomal RNA". It matches the Rfam family "Bacterial small subunit ribosomal RNA", at positions 524 to 776 of the family's 1533-position model. The record is from RNAcentral.